This 368-nucleotide ribosomal RNA is filed under the name uncultured bacterium. RNAcentral's name for it is "partial 16S ribosomal RNA". It matches the Rfam family "Bacterial small subunit ribosomal RNA", at positions 338 to 703 of the family's 1533-position model. The record is from RNAcentral.
CCUACGGGAGGCUGCAGUGAGGAAUAUUGGUCAAUGGCCGGAAGGCUGAACCAGCCAUGCCGCGUGAAGGACAGAGCCCUAUGGGCGUUAAACUUCUUUUGUGCGGGAGCAAGAAUGGUCACGUGUGGACAGACGAGAGUACCGUACGAAGAAGCAGCGGCGAACUCCGUGCCAGCAGGCGCGGUAAUCCGGGGGAUGCAAGCGUUCGCCGGAUUUCUUGGGUGUCAAGGGUGCGUAGGCUGUGAGGUAAGGCAGCGGUGAAAUGCCCCCGCUCAACGGGGUGAAGUGCCUUUGAUACUGCCUUUCUGGACUGCGGCUGCCGUGGGAGUAAUGUGUGGUGUAGCGGUGAACUGCAUAGAUAUCACACA